CGCACGGGUGAGUAUCGCGUUUGUAACUACCUUUAACUGGAGAAAUAGCCCGAAGAAAUUCGGAUUAAUACUCCAUAACACUAUGAUCUGGCAUCUUAUUAUAGUUAAAGCUCCCGGCGGUUAAAGAUGGGCAUGCGUAACAUUAGAUAGUUGGUGAGGUAACGGCUCACCAAGUCUACGAUGUUUAGGGGGUCUGAGAGGAUGGUCCCCCACACUGGUACUGAGACACGGACCAGACUCCUACGGGAGGCAGCAGUGAGGAAUAUUGGUCAAUGGGCGCAAGCCUGAACCAGCCAUGCCGCGUGAAGGAUGACAGCGCUACGCGUUGUAAACUUCUUUUGUACAGGAAGAAACGCUUCUACGUGUAGAAGUCUGACGGUACUGUACGAAUAAGCAUCGGCUAACUCCGUGCCAGCAGCCGCGGUAAUACGGAGGAUGCAAGCGUUAUCCGGAUUUAUUGGGUUUAAAGGGUACGUAGGCGGAAAAUUAAGUCAGUAGUGAAAUCCUGCAGCUUAACUGUAGAACUGUUAUUGAUACUGGUUUUCUUGAAUAUAGUUGAGGUAGGCGGAAUGUGUAAUGUAGCGGUGAAAUGCUUAGAUAUUACACAGAACACCGAUUGCGAAGGCAGCUUACUAAGCUAUGAUUGACGCUGAGGUACGAAAGCGUGGGGAGCGAACAGGAUUAGAUACCCUGGUAGUCCACGCCGUAAACGAUGAUCACUCGUUGUUGGCAAUACAUCGUCAGCGACCGAGCGAAAGCAUUAAGUGAUCCACCUGGGGAGUACGCUC
This 788-nucleotide ribosomal RNA is filed under the name uncultured Bacteroidota bacterium. RNAcentral's name for it is "bacterial SSU rRNA". It matches the Rfam family "Bacterial small subunit ribosomal RNA", at positions 99 to 887 of the family's 1533-position model. Lineage: Bacteria; Pseudomonadati; Bacteroidota. The record is from RNAcentral.